RNAcentral lists this ribosomal RNA (586 nucleotides) under uncultured bacterium. RNAcentral describes it as "bacterial SSU rRNA". It matches the Rfam family "Bacterial small subunit ribosomal RNA", at positions 339 to 915 of the family's 1533-position model. The record is from RNAcentral.
CUACGGGAGGCAGCAGUAGGGAAUCUUCCGCAAUGGACGAAAGUCUGACGGAGCAACGCCGCGUGAGUGAUGAAGGCUUUCGGGUCGUAAAACUCUGUUGUUAGGGAAGAACAAGUGCUAGUUGAAUAAGCUGGCACCUUGACGGUACCUAACCAGAAAGCCACGGCUAACUACGUGCCAGCAGCCGCGGUAAUACGUGGGUGGCAAGCGUUAUCCGGAAUUAUUGGGCGUAAAGCGCGCGCAGGUGGCUUCUUAAGUCUGAUGUGAAAGCCCACGGCUCAACCGUGGAGGGUCAUUGGAAACUGGGAGACUUGAGUGCAGAAGAGGAAAGUGGAAUUCCAUGUGUAGCGGUGAAAUGCGUAGAGAUAUGGAGGAACACCAGUGGCGAAGGCGACUUUCUGGUCUGUAACUGACACUGAGGCGCGAAAGCGUGGGGAGCAAACAGGAUUAGAUACCCUGGUAGUCCACGCCGUAAACGAUGAGUGCUAAGUGUUAGAGGGUUUCCGCCCUUUAGUGCUGAAGUUAACGCAUUAAGCACUCCGCCUGGGGAGUACGGCCGCAAGGCUGAAACUCAAAGGAAUUGACG